This 417-nucleotide unclassified non-coding RNA is filed under the name Hevea brasiliensis (rubber tree). The record is from RNAcentral. Lineage: Eukaryota; Viridiplantae; Streptophyta; Magnoliopsida; Malpighiales; Euphorbiaceae.
GGCCAGGAAGUGAAAGAGAUAAGAAAGACAGUGACAAGGAGAUCAAAAGAUCAGGAAGUGACAGAGAUAGGAAACAUCGCAAGCGGCAUAGACAUUCCUCUGAUGACGAUGACAGCGAGAAAGAUCAUUCAAGAAGUUCUUACAGACGUGGAAGUGAUUAUAAGAAAGUGAAACAGAUGGACCUACACAGACGGAGUUUGGAAGCUGAUUCAGAGGGCAAGCGCAAAAAAAGAAAACGAGAUCAUCGGAGUGAUUCUCAUAGGGAAAGUGACGAUGAAGAUCACAAAGACUGGGAAUCCGGCGAUGAUGUAGAAGUUUAGUAGCUUUUUGUCUUCUUUUUCAAAAUGAUUUCUCAAAUGCGCUUUUCAUUGUGUACAUAUUAUAAUGUAUCAUGGUUUACUAUCACCUUCCCCCAAC